CGCCGACGUCGGGCAGGCUGUCGCCGCCGCUCUGAAUGGCGGUGUCGUACUUCGACUGCACGUUGGCGA
RNAcentral lists this transfer RNA (69 nucleotides) under Streptomyces violaceusniger. RNAcentral's name for it is "tRNA-Gln". The record is from RNAcentral. Lineage: Bacteria; Bacillati; Actinomycetota; Actinomycetes; Kitasatosporales; Streptomycetaceae.